Molecule: long non-coding RNA, 1222 nt
Filed under: Chrysemys picta bellii (western painted turtle)
Lineage: Eukaryota; Metazoa; Chordata; Testudines; Emydidae
Description: lncRNA (ENSCPBG00000009471.1)
Source: RNAcentral
AGUAUUGCAUAAUUCAUAGAAUAAUGAUAAUUAAAAUAAUAAAUACUCUUUGGGAGGGCAAUUAUUUUUGUGUGUAUUUGCCUGCAUUUCUUCCUGACACCACCCGAUAUUCGGAUAUUUUACUAAAAGCAGGAUAAUUUAUUCUCAGCUGUUGGGUAAAGAUCAAACAUGAAAUCCGGGCACCAUCAAAGUCAAUGGGAGUUUUACCAUUGAUUUAAGUGCGGCUGGGAUUUCACACAACAUGUAAUAUCAGUUUAAUACUCAGAAUAGAGGAUGUCUGCUCUAGGAGGAUGGAAUCUGGUUCUCGCUUGGGGGAGGCAUAAUGAUGGCCUUUGCCAUCUCUGUGGGCCCGAUUCUUCAAAUUCUAAUAUCAAUGUUAUGUCUUCAUUGGGCAAAUGGCUACAAAAAGCAUAAGGUCUGGCGACCCAGGCCUUUGAACCAGCUCAUCUAUUGCCAUUUUAAAUGUGUUUCCAGUAAGUUAAGUUUAAAGCCAUGCUUAACAAUACAUUUCCUUUGUCACUUUGGAUGAUCCCAGGAAACACACAGAUGUGUGCUUGGGAUCUAUAGGUAGCUGGCUACAAUUCUAUUAAUUCUUAAACCCAGACUUAAAGUAAGACCCCGCUCAGCACAAACAUGUAAAUAUCAUGAUGCAAUCCAUAAGAGGGAAACCUGGUCCCCCCCGCCUUGCCUCAAACCCCUUCAGACUUUGGAUGGGAUGGACAGAGAUAGGGGAUGCAGCAAGAGAAGUUAGAGGUAGAGUUAGGAUAGCGUGUGUGAAUUUUUGUGGGGAGGAGACAAUGGGAGAGGGUUUUAGGGAUGGCGCUAGUAAUAGAUUUUGUGUGUGUGUGUGUGUGUCUGACAUUUGGAUGGUAGGUACAGGAGAGAUGGUGUGAGAUAUUUCAGGGAAGGCAGGAGAAUGUGCAUGAGAUGAAGAUGAGAUGAGUACAGAGAGAGUGGGAAAGGGGAAGGUGAGAGAAAAAUGGAGUGAUAGAGGAUGAGGGGAGAGUGUGAAGGUAUGGAGGCAGGAAUGAGAAAACCACAUAGGAAAGAAAGAGGCAGGUAAUGGAGGAGAAGGGGAGAAAACAGAGGGAACAGGCGCUACAGAAUGUAGCAAAAACAUGGAAGGGACAAUACCCUGUAAAACACUCAGGAAAAGAACAAAUGUGUUCAUUAGAAGGAAGGAAAAAAUAAAAUGAGGGAAGUGAAAAGAAUGAGGGUAGGA